CUUGUCAGUUUGCAAUAUCUCUUAAAGACAAAGUACACAGUUUAAGAAAUACAAGAUUUCAUUCUAAAACUUGUAAUAUUUGCAUUUGCCCAUAACAAGGGUGCAUGUGUGUAUAUGUCGGUGUGUAUCUAUGUGUGUGUAUGUGUCCAGGGCCGGCCUUAGGCGCCCUGUGCGAAAAGUCUUCACGGCGCCCCCCACCAAGUUGCCUGAAUACAGUUACACACACAGGCACCAGGGACAUGUGUAUCGCGAGGCAAACAAGGCAUCUGCCUUGGGUGGCACUUUGCAUGGGGCUGCAGAAAAAGCCACCCCCAAACCCCCAGGCAGAUCCCUUGCUUGCCUCGCGUCCUGGGGGCUCAAGAGGUGGCCGGCUGGCCACUUCUGAGCCCCCCGAGGCUGGCAGCGGGCAGUGAAGGAGCAUAUUUACCUGAGCUCUUCCUGCUCAGCUCCCUAUACGCCACUUAAUGAAGCCGGGAGCCGGAAUAUGAUGUCAGUCCGGCUCCCGGCAUCACUAAGCGUCGCCUACUCAGCCUGUGCGACCCCUGCCUGCCCACCCAGCAGCCACACUGGACUGCAGGUAAGAAAUCCACUCCAGCUAUCCCAGGGAGGCUGGGUAGAUUUAAAAUAAAAUUUAAAAAAUAUUAGUUUGUGAGUGUUAAUGAAAAUGUCUGUGUGUGUGUGUCUGUGAGUGUGUAUUUCUAAGUGAAUGUGAAUGUGUGUGUGUGUCUGUAUGUGUCUGUAAGUGUGUAAUUGUGUGUGUCUGUAAGUAAAUGUGUGUGUCUGUAAGUGUUUAUGUGUGUGUGUGUCUGUGAGUGAAUGUGUAUGUGUUGGUCAGUGAGUGUGUAUGUGUCGGUUAGUGGGGGCGUGCAUCUUUCAGUGAGUGUGUCCGUUUGUCAGUGAGAGUGUGCAUCUUUCAGUGUGUGCCCAAGUAAUAGUGUGUGUGUAUGUCAUUGUUUGUCAGUGUGUAUGAGAGUGUGUGUCUGUCAGUGAGUGUGCGUCUGUCAGCCAAAGUGCGGUAUUGACAGGAAUGGGUGGGGGAAAUAUUAACUCUGUUACAGGCAUGUACACACACACACUCAGUUAAAGGCAGUCACACAUACAGGCACAGGCACACACAAUGGCACAGCUACAGUGACACACAAUUAGAGUCACACACAGAGUCACAUACACAGACAGUCACACACACACACACACACACACACACAGGCAGGCAGUCACACACAGACAGACAGUUACAGACAGACACAGGCAGGCAAUCACACACACAGGCAGACAGUCACACAGGCAGUCACACAUGCAGGCAGGCAGUCACACAGACAGGCAGUCACACACACACAGGCAGUCACACACAGACAGUCACACACACACAGGCAGUCACACACACACAAAUGCAGUCACUGUAGCAGAGAGAUAGUUUCAUCCACGGUAUCUCUGCUGGGUAACAGGAACAGCAUAAAAUCAUCCAGACAAAAUAAGUACAGCAUACAAUAAUCCCGGUAGCGUUGUACAAAUCUUUCCUUCCCAAGAACUAAAUGACACAUAGGCUGGGAGUCAACUGAGGUUUUAAUCACAGGUCACAGUAUUUAUGCAGUUCCCCAUGCAAGAGGUUUUCUUACUGACAUUACAGGGGUUGUACAGUAGGGGACUACAUUGGGAACUUAACAACCAAGAUCUUUCUCCCAUCAUGCACUGCUGUACGAGAGGGAUACUCCCACUAGAAUAUCCAGUUAAGUAGAUUAUCCCUCCGUACAGCAGAACUGGCAUUUCACAUAAAAAUAUAUAACUUUAACCUUAUUCCUACUGUAUUACCGAAUGACCGUUCAGUAGAUAGCUGGGGUCUGAGCGCACAUAUCGUGCAAUUACCGCUCCAUACCCAGCACAUCUAGCCGAACGCCGCAUGAAUUACACUUUAAUAUAUACUUUGCCUAAAUUGCACGAAUACACUUGUAGGAAGCAAGUACUGAAAGACCAGUACUCCCGAACGGCCUCGAAGUCCAGCGGUAUUCGUGCCGUCGAGUAGCCGAUUUUAGUUCCAGGCACUCAACGGCAAAAUACCGCUGGGCUAACAAAGGAACCAAGAUGGCCGACCACCGCGGGGCCACCCUGAAUCUUUCAUAACUUCUGAAAUAUACAAUGUUGCAAUGUUUAAUGGGAGCCACACGACCUUCUGUGUGUGGUCUCCCAUUUGGUAGUUGGUUCGUUUUACGAACAGUGUUGAAAUUCACUGUUCGUGAAACUACUGUAUGAAUGCUGGUGGUUUUCAUGCCGCCAGCAUACAAAUGUUCUUGUUAGCCUAACAUAAAAAAUUAAGUAUAUGCUUGGUUCUAACAUCCUUAAAGUUACAGCAACACAUUAAUGUAAAUACAGUCUUAAAGUGGCUAGUUUUGCCACAAUCACACACGCAGGCAGUCACACACACACACAGGCAGUCACACACACACAGGCAGUCACAAACACGCAGACAGUCACACACACAGGCAGGCAGUCACACACACUGUCAAGAUAUUUAUAUUGGCAGACAUUUUGUGCUAAGAUAGAAAUUAAAAGUGUAUAUUUCCUGAGUCACUCAGAACAGAGCGGACUCCAUUUUGGAUCUACAGGCCAACAAAGACACAUCAUUUCUUCUUACUUUCUGUAACUAGCCACUAGCCUGAGCUAAGGAAUGCAUUAUAUAAACAAGCCAAGUGAUAAGCAAUGAAGCAGGUGGAUGGAAUGUUCUGUUUAAAUGUUAAUAGAAUAGAAAUAAUUUUAAACACAGACACUAGUGACAGAGAAGACUAAGUAAUUAAUUUUACUUUCUAAAUUUUACAAGGUCCCAUUUGUAAGUAAGGGGUGAAAUUGAGUUUAGAACUGUCAAUCCUAGAAAUUAUGAUCAUAGUAGUUGCCACAAAGACUGAGACAAACGCUUUGAACUGACAGCAAAUUUAAGUUAUGGUGGUUAUUUUAGAUAAGCCAAAUGACGUCAAAAUCGUCAUCAGGAAAAGUUAACUCUUUCCUGGAUAGGAAGGUUUAGUGAGGCGAGACUGCCCUCUAUGGAUCAAAUACCUAAAUUGCAAUCUGCAGGUUGAACAAAUCUUAGUUAACUAAAGAAUAUAUAGUUAUAAACAUUCCAUUCUGCAGGUGGAAUUAAGAAUAAUUAUAUAUUAAUGUGAUAGUAUCACGUGUUAGCAUACCGCUGUUUUUAUCCAGGUGUAUUGAUUUGCUCUAAAAUAAGAUAAGAUAUCUUUUUUAGGCAAAUUAAAAUUUGGCUUUUGUAAUCUGGUAGAUUAUUCUUAUUGAUUGGUUCCAGGAAAUGACUAAUGAGCUGGUUCGAAUGUUAUUUUAUCUGAAAAUUACAUGAGAAUAGGAUAUUAUAUGCGUAGGAGGAUCUAGCCAGCAUUGAAGGGGUUACACAGUUAAUCUAACUGUUAGCCAAGGUUUUAUGGCGUUUUGCUUUCUUUGUACUGAGAAGUACCCAUUAAUCGUGUAAGUCUUGACAGGUGAUGCUGUAGCUUGUACUGUGUUUAGCCAUUGCCAUUGUAUUGCAUACUUAUGUUAUACUAAAUAUUCACUGAUUAUUAUCAUGCAUGCUGCCUA
Molecule: long non-coding RNA, 3576 nt
Filed under: Pelobates cultripes (western spadefoot toad)
Lineage: Eukaryota; Metazoa; Chordata; Amphibia; Anura; Pelobatidae
Source: RNAcentral